Molecule: ribosomal RNA, 676 nt
Filed under: Salmonella enterica subsp. enterica serovar Agona
Lineage: Bacteria; Pseudomonadati; Pseudomonadota; Gammaproteobacteria; Enterobacterales; Enterobacteriaceae
Description: bacterial SSU rRNA
Rfam family: Bacterial small subunit ribosomal RNA
Source: RNAcentral
GUGGCUUCCGGAGCUAACGCGUUAAGUAGACCGCCUGGGGAGUACGGCCGCAAGGUUAAAACUCAAAUGAAUUGACGGGGGCCCGCACAAGCGGUGGAGCAUGUGGUUUAAUUCGAUGCAACGCGAAGAACCUUACCUGGUCUUGACAUCCACGGAAGUUUUCAGAGAUGAGAAUGUGCCUUCGGGAACCGUGAGACAGGUGCUGCAUGGCUGUCGUCAGCUCGUGUUGUGAAAUGUUGGGUUAAGUCCCGCAACGAGCGCAACCCUUAUCCUUUGUUGCCAGCGAUUCGGUCGGGAACUCAAAGGAGACUGCCAGUGAUAAACUGGAGGAAGGUGGGGAUGACGUCAAGUCAUCAUGGCCCUUACGACCAGGGCUACACACGUGCUACAAUGGCGCAUACAAAGAGAAGCGACCUCGCGAGAGCAAGCGGACCUCAUAAAGUGCGUCGUAGUCCGGAUUGGAGUCUGCAACUCGACUCCAUGAAGUCGGAAUCGCUAGUAAUCGUGGAUCAGAAUGCCACGGUGAAUACGUUCCCGGGCCUUGUACACACCGCCCGUCACACCAUGGGAGUGGGUUGCAAAAGAAGUAGGUAGCUUAACCUUCGGGAGGGCGCUUACCACUUUGUGAUUCAUGACUGGGGUGAAGUCGUAACAAGGUAACCGUAGGGGAACCUGC